This 444-nucleotide ribosomal RNA is filed under the name uncultured bacterium. RNAcentral's name for it is "bacterial SSU rRNA". It matches the Rfam family "Bacterial small subunit ribosomal RNA", at positions 355 to 796 of the family's 1533-position model. The record is from RNAcentral.
UAAGGAAUAUUGGUCAAUGGACGCAAGUCUGAACCAGCCAUGCCGCGUGGAGGAUGAAGGUCCUCUGGAUUGUAAACUUCUUUUAUCUGGGAAGAAACCCAAGGUUUCUACUGUGGUUGACGGUACCAGAUGAAUAAGCACCGGCUAACUCCGUGCCAGCAGCCGCGGUAAUACGGAGGGUGCAAGCGUUAUCCGGAUUCACUGGGUUUAAAGGGUGCGUAGGUGGGCAGGUAAGUCAGUGGUGAAAUCUCCGGGCUUAACCCGGAAACUGCCGUUGAUACUAUCUGUCUUGAAUAUCGUGGAGAUGAGCGGAAUAUGUCAUGUAGCGGUGAAAUGCUUAGAUAUGACAUAGAACACCGAUUGCGAAGGCAGCUCGUUACACGGUUAUUGACACUGAGGCACGAAAGCGUGGGGAUCAAACAGGAUUAGAUACCCCUGUAGUCC